This 598-nucleotide ribosomal RNA is filed under the name Hansenula anomala. RNAcentral's name for it is "Wickerhamomyces anomalus partial large subunit ribosomal RNA". It matches the Rfam family "Eukaryotic large subunit ribosomal RNA", at positions 47 to 658 of the family's 3401-position model. The record is from RNAcentral. Lineage: Eukaryota; Fungi; Ascomycota; Saccharomycetes; Phaffomycetales; Wickerhamomycetaceae.
UAAGCGGAGGAAAAGAAACCAACAGGGAUUGCCUCAGUAACGGCGAGUGAAGCGGCAAAAGCUCAAAUUUGAAAUCUAGCACCUUCGGUGUUUGAGUUGUAAUUUGAAGAUGGUAACCUUGGGUUUGGCUCUUGUCUAUGUUCCUUGGAACAGGACGUCAUAGAGGGUGAGAAUCCCGUCUGAUGAGAUGCCCAUUCCUAUGUAAGGUGCUAUCGAAGAGUCGAGUUGUUUGGGAAUGCAGCUCUAAGUGGGUGGUAAAUUCCAUCUAAAGCUAAAUAUUGGCGAGAGACCGAUAGCGAACAAGUACAGUGAUGGAAAGAUGAAAAGAACUUUGAAAAGAGAGUGAAAAAGUACGUGAAAUUGUUGAAAGGGAAGGGCAUUAGAUCAGACUUGGUGUUUUACGAUUAUCUUCUCUUCUUGAGUUGUGCACUCGUAUUUCACUGGGCCAGCAUCGAUUCGGAUGGCAAGAUAAUGGCAGUUGAAUGUGGCUUCACUUCGGUGGAGUGUUAUAGCUUCUGCUGAUAUUGCCUGUCUGGAUCGAGGGCUGCGUCUUUUGACUAGGAUGCUGGCGUAAUGAUCUAAUGCCGCCCGUCUUGAA